CGAGCACCCACUGGGAAAAGCGAUCGUCGCGUACUCCAGGAAGAUCAGCGGCGAGCAUUCGUCCCAUGGUCAGCAGCAACACGAGGUGCGUGAUUUCGAGGCCAUUCCAGGGCAGGGAGUGCGCGCCGUGGUGGACGGCAAGGCGACCCUGGUGGGGAACAUGCGACUGAUGAAGGAGCACGGGAUCCACAUAUCGGAAGAAGCGGAGGAGCACUUGCGCGAUGUGGAGACUUUGGCCAGGACGGGAGUGAUGGUUGCCAUCGAGAGGGAGUUGGUGGGGGUGGUGUCCAUCGCGGAUCCAGUGAAGCCGGAAGCAGCCAGAGUAAUCAGCAUCCUCAAGUCAAUGGGCGUGCGCAGCAUGAUGGUCACGGGGGACAACUGGGGCACAGCCGUGGCGAUUGCGAGGGAGUUGGGAAUCGAGAGGCCAUGCGUGCACGCAGAGUCGUUGCCAGAAGACAAGGCCAGGAUCGUGGAAGAAAUGCAGGUUCGUGGUUUGCCUGGUGCACGAGCAUGCGUGGGGGCUGCGGGGGGAGUUUGACCUGGGGAGGGAACGCGAGCGCCGGGGUGGGAUUGGAUUGCGUAAUGGGGGAAGCAGAGGCGAGUGAUGAGGACGCUUGGUGAACAAGCAUGCUGACGCUGAGGUUUGUGGGAUGCAGGCGGCAGGGACGUCGGUGGCCAUGGUGGGGGACGGCAUCAACGAUUCGCCAGCGUUGGUCGCAGCGGACGUGGGGAUGGCGAUAGGAGCGGGGACGGACAUCGCGAUCGAGGCGGCGGACAUCGUGCUGAUGAAGAGCAACCUGGAGGACGUGAUCACAGGGAUAGACUUGUCACGGAAGUCGUUCUUCAGGAUCUGGCUGAACUACGUGUGGGCGUUGGGGUACAAUGUGCUGGGCAUCCCCAUAGCUGCGGGGGCGCUGUUCCCAAGCACGGGGUUCCGGUUGCCUCCGUGGGUGGCGGGUGCAGCCAUGGCGGCGUCAUCGGUGUCGGUAGUAUGUUCGUCGCUGUGGCUGAAACGCUACAAAAGGCCGAAGGUGGUGGAGGAGAUAGACACGAGUGUACAGCGGUAGUAGGCGCGGAGCACGUUCCAGUGCCUUCUCACAGUUUUGCGAAGCAGAUCAGUUUUGCACAGCGUCUUCGGGGAGCUGUAUUUCAGGCGGCGCCCGCUCGUGCCUGGGCUCAGGGGCGGGUGUCGCCUCAAACACAGCGCUCUGGGUGACAUGUAAAUAGAUAUAUUUUUUUUUCAUUUUAUAGUAUUUGUGUUCACCUUUGAUAAUUUUAGGGUAGGAUUUUUUAUUCAUUCAUUAGUUUAUUUUGUUGUGGGCAUUUUUAUUGAUGAUUUUAUUUUGAAUAUUUUAUGUAUCUUAAAAUUCUAGUAAUUGAUACUCAAAUCAUUAUAUAAUUCGAAUUAAAUGGGAUUCAUCUACAGAUACUUGUAAUUUAAUACAAUUUUUCUUGUUCAAUUUCGAUUCUUUUGACUAUGUGCAUUUACAUUGUUAUCGCCUAAUUUUAUGUUUUCUAAAGUGAACAAAUCUUACUACAUAAGCUACUUUGAAAAGGAAAACAGUUUAAAAAUGGUAUUGCUUGAGUAAAAAUCCAGAUAUACUUAAAAUGUUUCUCUUUAUAUAACUAUUUCAAGAGUCCAUUCUAUAUCACAUCAAAUCAAUUUGAAAACAAAUAUCAUCAAGCUCCACACUCUAAAUCCUUAACAACGAAAUGGCUUUUUAGCAAAUUGUCAUUUUAAAAAACAUAUAAAGAAAACAUGUUUAAUUUGUUUGUCAUACAAUUCACACACACAUACAUACAUACAUACAUACAUACAUACAUGUUUGUAUGUAUCUACAUAUAUAUAUGAGAAGAGUACACAUUUUCUGUUUCCCUAUGGACAAGGUUACAGUAUUACCUGUUAAGAUUCAAAGUGUGAACACACUUGGUACAACCACCUGGCAUCUUCUAGCAAUGCCAUACCAUUCUAGGCAAAAAUGUUAGCAAUUUCAGCAAUUUUUUAACACAACCCGCAAUACUCGUAAUGAAGCUUUAAAUGGUGUAGCAAAUAAAGAGAUCAGAAGUAGGAUUUAGAGCUCUUCUCAAAGAGGGCAAAGUUGGACAUCCACUUUGAAAACCCCGUCGGCGGUGAACACGAUGCUGUCGCAAGCAGUCAAGGUUCGAAGUAGUGUACACGGAGUAAGCUCCGUGUAGAUCAUCGGAGUUGCGGACAACACGAGCUCCAUGGACUACGAGAGGGGUACCAUCGGAGGUGGGGGGAGGGGGGGGGUUCCAUGAUGGAAAAAGCGGGGGAUUAGGAAACUCAUGAUACAACUCCAAUCAUUACUAACAACAAAAUAACUUACUUUCUUUGAAUUACAUAAGAUAUCUUCAAUGUCUUAUAAUUCCUUCAUCUAGACUUAGAAUUUAUCAAACAGUAUAUGAACAGUAUAGCUUAGAAAGUGCUCUCUCUAAUCCUAAUCGCUGCCCUUCAUUGUUCUUUGUAAGCAUAUGUUUUGCUUCAAAGAAUGACAAUAGGUACAAAAUUGACACUUUAGUUUUCAACACCUAUAACUCCUUCAUAAAAACUCCAAAUCAUACAAAAUUUGCAUCCAAUCCAUAUCCAAAAACCUAAACUUGCUGAUCCUAACCUCCAAAGUUCAAAUGACCUUGGAAGAGAAAUCAUUAUCCCUAAUAAGGACUUGAGUAGCCUCCUUAAAGUCCAUUGGCCAUGACAUUCAACUAAUAGGGAUGAAAAUCUUUUUUCUUUGCCUUCAUUUAACCAUACUUUGCUUUCAUCCUUUCCAAUAAGCCUCCUUAUAGUUUAGACUUUCAUCUUUAGACUCCAACCUUUUCUUAAGCUUUAUACUAAAUAUAUAAAUCUUACAUAAUAUAAAUACUAUAAUAAAAAUAGUUAAACCUCUAAAUAAAUUGUUUUCUAUCUUUUUGACCUUGCACAAUUCAUAUGCCACAUGUUAAAGGCUCAUACCAAAGUCUUAUUGAAGAACUGUGCCAAUAGCAAAGUUGGAAGCUUCAAUGUCAAGUAUACAUGAAAGAUUGGGAUCAUAUGGUUGUAAUAUUGAAGCAGUACAAUCUAAUGAAUUUAUAUUAAUUUUUAACUUUUAUGUUGAUGAUUUAAUCAUCUUAACCAAUAUCUUAAAGAUAAUAGAUUUGUUGAAAAUAAAGUUAAAAAAGAAGUAUAAGAUGAUUGAUUUGAAAGAGCUUCACUAUUGUUUAGGAAUAGAAUUUGUGAAAGAUUAUGCUAAAAAGAUGAUAAUAAUAAUCCAAAGCAAGUACAUUGAAGAUGUGUUGAAACGAUUUAACAUGAAGAAAUGUAAGCCUACAUAUAAACCUUUGGAGGCCAAUUUGAUGUUGAUGAAGCUCAUAGAUGAAGAAUUUGCUAAAGUUGAAGGUCAAAUGCUAGAUAUUCCAUAUUAGAUAGCAAUAGACUCACUUAUGUAUGCAAUGGUUGGCACAAGGGUGGAUCUUGCAUAUGUAGUGAGUAUUAUGAGCCAAUACAUAUCAAAGGCUAGAGCAAUCCCUUUGGCAACCAUUAAAAAGAUUAUGAAAUACUUAAAAGGUAUUUUAUAUUUUAAAUUAUAUCUUGAAAGUAAUAACAUUACUUUGCAUAGUUAUUGUAAUGCGGAUUGGAUUAGAGUUGCAAAUGAUAGAAGAUCAAUAACGAGGUAUGUUUUCUUUCUUGGAAUGAAAGCAGUUUUAUGAAAUUGCAAGAAACAAGCAACAAUUGCAAGAUCAAUAAUGGAGGUAGAAUACAUAGUAGUAAAUUAUGAUACAAUGGAGAUAAUAUGGCUUAGACAACUUUUGGAGGGCAUUGGAGUAGUACAAAUAGAAACAACAAUAGAAUGUGACAAUCAAGGAUGUUUUGCGCUUACAAAGAAUCCAAAGCAUCAUCAAAGACCAAGUACAUUGUCAUUUAACAUUACUUCAUAAGUGAGAAGAUUGAAAUGAGAGUGAUUAAUAUAAAGUAUUAUGCAACAAAAGACAUACUUGUUGAUUUGUUGACAAAGACAUUAGUAAAGGAUAGGCAUUGCAUGUUAAUAAAAGAAUUAGGAUUGAAAGCCUUUGACCAAUAGAAAAGUAAGAGUAUUAAAAUAAGUAAAUAAAAAUAAAAAUAGAAUAAGUUAUAAUACAACACCCUUGCUGCAACAAAUCUCAUUGCAAUCUAUAGAUCCAGUCGUGAAAAUUGCUCCUUUGAAGUUGAGUGAUCCAAACUACCGCGGCGACCAACCCCCUUCACUUAGAAAUUUGCUAAAAAUUCAAAUUAUCUUCAAAUCCAGCGAAACUUAUGCCCUUCAAAGCUUAGCUUAUAAAUCUUGAUGCUUCCGAAAUUUCAAAUGAAUCCAGCAAUCAAGCACUGAUAAAUGUCUUCCUAAACUCGAUUAAUCCAAACUGCGAAGGUUGUCAACCCCCUCACACUCAAAAUUUCACCAAAAAUUUAAUUCAACUCUGAAUGGAGCGAGACUUCUUUGUCAAAAAGCUAACAACAAAAGCUAAAACCACAAAAAAAAUCACAUUAGAACUAAAAUAAUUGAAUGACUGAUGGAGGGAAAUCUGAGGCUCUUGAAAUCCUUGGAGUAAUUGAGAGGCCAAAGGAGCUAUUCACCACAAUGAAACGUGUUUUAAGACCCAAUGACUAUCAUUCGCAACUCAAAAUCCAUCCACAUCCACCCAUAAAAUUCAUAAUGAGAUUUAAAAUCUAAAUGAAAUUAAAAUUAGGAUUUUUGGCCAAAUUUUAGCAUGGCUUCAUCCUUCACCAAAAGAGAAGAGAGAGAGGGCUUGGAAAACCAAGCCUGUCUUAUACAAUUGAGUGGAGGCUCGUAGAAGGGUGGCUACAUCUCCACCCUUGAUUUUUCAGAUUCCUAAUCUAGAUCUAUGGCCUUCAUUCAUCCAAGACCAAAUCUCGUUACCAAGGCUGAUAGCCCUUGUAAGUAGUUAAGAAGGCAUUUUUUUUGCAAAUCUAACUUCACUAUUGUGUUCAAAACACCUUUUUAAGCUAAGAUCGACUACUCUUAUGCCCCAAUCCAUGCUCAAUUAUAAUUUCCAUGGAAGUUUUUACUUAUAAGGAUCUUGGCAAUUUUUUUGUGAAAUUCUUCAAAAUGAGAAUUUCAUUGCUUCUCUUGUAUUUAGAAGGAGAGGUUGCUGAUCUUGUUUUCUUCACUCCACGAAGUAAAUCCGGUGCCACCAUUGCAUUAAAGAGACUCCCAUUAAGUAGAAGAACCACCAUGCCGCUUAAAUUUGCCGAAUUUGGAGGAAAAAUCCAAAAUUACCAUUGCUAACUUUCCUAAAUCUUUUAGAGAAUUAUAAUUCCAACCCCUAAAUCAUGUGAAUUAUUAUAGACGAACUCAUUGGCUUUUAGUCAACCCUUAUAGUAAUGACCAACAACCUUUAAAUUAUUAAACUAACUAAGUUGCUAUUCUAAUUUUCUAACUCUUGUCACUUUAGUCCUAAUUAAUCUAAUUCAAAAAAUUAGGCUAUGAUUUAUAUCAUGAGGGAUUGUAAUCCUAAAAAUUCUAUAAAAUUGAAUUCUACUUAUAUAAAUCCUAAUCUAACAUGUUUAAUUAUUAUAAAAUAGGAAAAUAACAAAAAUUUAAAUUUUAGAGUAUAAUUGAGAGCUAACAUGUGGUGCACCAUCUGUGGGCUAUUUGCCAUGCAAAUAGAAUGGACCCUUGAGUCUCUUACAAGUGAAGGUAGUGUCUUUUUCAAGGGCACAUGGUCAAUUGAAAUUCGAAGAAUAAGAUUCUUAAAAAUAAUAAAAUCAUAAUAUAAAAUCCGAUAUCAAAUCCUCUCAACUCUAAUAUCCAUUUAUUAAUAUUAUAAAUUAAAAUAUUGGAACUCAUCCUUCUUCCUCAAAUAAUGUCAAUUUGGAGUACUAUAGAAAAAUAAUUAGAAGUUAAAAAGUUGAAAAUAAAAAUAACCAUAUCCUCCCUUCUUAGAGCAAAUUCUAACCUAUAAAUAAUAAAUUAAUUCAAUUGGCCUCCCUCCUCCAUCAAAGUGGAUUUGGAUUAAAAAAAAAGAAGUGAAAACGGAAGAAGAAUAAUAAAAUAAGAAGUUGUUAAUUACUACAUGAGAAGCAAUGUCUUUUUCUUAGCAAUUUGGACCUAAUCUAUGUAAAUCAUCUAAUACAAGUUAAGAAAGUGAAAUAAGAUUGAAUAAUAAGAGCAAAAGAUGAAAAUUACUCACUCAAUAGCGUCCACACUAUAUCUUGGGCCUAUCUCAUGGAAGAAUAUUCAUAUUAUAUUUUAAUUUUAUGUAUUUUUAAUAAAUGUGUGAAUGCCCUAUAAAUCAUACUAUCUCGCUUAACUUCAUAAUAUUAACAUCCUCUCUUGGAACUAUAAAGAAAUAAAAAAAGAAUAAGAGAAGAAGAAAAAUUUGAGAUAUAAUAAGAAUAUUAUAAAAAGAGGCACUUAGCUAGUAUUUCACCUUUGUAGUUGCUAAUAAAUUCCCAAUCAACCGUCUUUGAGGGUUGAUUAAUAUUGAUCUUUUAUAGCUUCUAUUUUGCUCUCCAACAUACUAUUUGAUAUUAAAAAAAUAUAAUCUAUAAAAGAAUUUUGUUCCUAUCGUCACACUUUGUAUUCUUUAGACCGUUCUCCUAUUGUUCGUGUAGGAAAUAAUGAGCCAUCUAAGGUCUUCAAUUGUAUAGAGUUGUUGGUGGAGACAUCCACCACAAUAUAAGGGCCAAUCCAUAUAGCAUCAAAUUUUCUUGAGAAUUCCAUUUUUUGUGCAUCUUGAAGUAUGACUCACAUACCAGGCUCCAAUGCCCUCUUUUUAAUCUUUUUAUCAAAAGUUACCUUUCUUUGGCAUUGAAUGGCCUCAAUAUUUUGGAUUGCCAUUUUUCUAAACUCAUGCAAAGCUUUUAAUUGUUCCAUCUUAUCUUUCACUGAUCUCGACCAGUCCAACCUUUCCUGGUUUGCAAUCCGUAAUGAAGGUAUUUCAAGCUCAAUGAGUAAAAUGGCUUCUAUUCCAUACAUCAAUGCAAAUGGUGUAGUACUUGUAGUUACCUUAUAUGUGAAUCUAUAUGCUUAAAGAGCUGCUGUGAGCUUCACAUCCCAAUCCUUCUUGUUGUCUACUACAGUUUUGUGUAAAAUCCUUACUAACGUUUGAUUCAUUCAUUUUGCUCUUCCACUGGUUUGAGGGUGAUAAGGUGUAGUUUUUUGAUGUUGGAUGGUAAAGAUAGAUGUGAUUUCUUUGACAUUCUCAUUGAGGAAAUGAGUUCCUCUAUCACUUAUUAAGAUUUUUGGGCUUCCAAAUCUUGCAAUGAUAUUUUCAUAUAAAAAAAUUAUAGUUUGUUUACUAUCUAAACACUUCACUCCCUUGGCUUCAGCCCAUUUGGUCAAGUAUUCUAUGGCCACUAUAAUAAAUUGGUUUCUCUUUGAAGAAGUGGAUACUAUAGGUCCAACAUAGUCAAUUCUUCAUUGUUCUAAAGGUGCUAAUGGCAGUAGUGGAUGCAAAGGCAAUUGCAUGUGUAGACCAUUAUGUGUAUAUCCAUGGCAUGUAUCACAACAUCGAGCGUGGGCCUCUGCAUCUGUAAAGAGAAUGGACUAGAAAUACCCUGCUCUUAAGAUUUUUUGUGAGGUGAGUCUUCCUGAAAAAUGACCACCACAAGCACUAUCAUGGCAAGCUUCUAGGAUAAAAGGGGCUUCUUCAUAUAUCAUGCAUCUUCUUAGAAUUCCAUCAAUGCCCCUCCUGUAGAGCUUUCCACCUAAUAAGAUGAAAUGUGUACUGUUCACCUUAAUCUUUCGCCUCUCUUCUUUGUCUAAUCUUUUAGGAUAAGUUUGAGAUGAUAAAAUUUUUGUCAAGUGGUUGUAUCAUGUAGGAAUGGCCUUUAUCAUGAAUAAUUUACUAUCUGAAAACUCAUCAUCUACAUCCUUCAUUCUCAAUUUAUUAGAAAUUCUUGACAAAUGAUCUACUUGGAGAUGCAUCUUUCCUGGCUUGUAAUGAACUGUAUAAUCUAACUCUGCCAGCAGUAGUACCCAUCAUGCAAGUCUUGCAUUUAAGUCUGGCUUAUUGACUAAAUAUUUGAUAGCCAUGUGGUCUACAAAAAAGACUACACGAUUCAUUAACAAGUAAUGUCGAAAUUUCUUUGUCGAAAAUACCAUUGUCAAACAUUCUCGUUCUGUAGUAGUGUAAUUUCUCUCUGCUGUUGAUAAUUACCUACUGGCAAAUGCUAUAGGAUAGUAUACCUUGCUUCCAUUAGUUGGUUGACAUAACGCGCUUCUUAAUGCUACUACUCAAGUAUCAUAGUAUAUAUGAAAUGGUUUGGACCAAUCUGAAGGUCUCAGAACUGAAAAACUAGUGAGUUUAUCCUUCAACUCAUCAAAUCCUCUUUGACACUCCUCUAUCUAUUAGAAUUUAGUCUCCUUCUUCAUUAGGUUAGUGAUGGAGGCUAUUGAAGUUGCAUAGUCCUUUAUGGUAUCUCUAUACAAACUUAUAUGACCUUAAUCCUUCCGUACUCCAUUCACAUCUUUUGGUGGAUGUAAUUCUACUAUCACUUUAACCUUCUCAGUGUUUGGUUCUUUCCUUGCUUGAGAUACAAUAUAACCAAGCAAUGCAUCUUGUCGUACUACCAAAUAAAAUUUUUCAGGAUUAAUGGCUAUACCAAUUUGAUGACAUCAAGUUAAUGCCUCUUUUACCCAACUUAAGUGGUCUAUAGCCUUAAAUUGAAUACUAAAGUCAUCAAUAAAAACCAUCAUUGACUUGUAUAAGAGGUCCGAGAAUGCAUAUGUCAUUGCUCGUUGAAAUGCAGAUGGUGCAUUGCAAAGACUAAAAGGCACGACUACAUAAAUGAAUGUUCCUCAUAGUGUGAUAAAGGCUAUUUUAUGCUAGUCUUUUGGUGCUAUUGAAAUUUGAUUAUAGCUUGAGUAACCAUCCAUAAAAGUAUAGAGCUCGUGUCUAGCCACUUCAUCUAGAAUGGUAUUCAUGAAUGGAAGAGGGAAGUGAUCUUUACAAGUAUACUUGUUCAAGGCUCUAUAAUCAAUGCAUAUAUGGAAUUUUUCAUUUUUCUUCUUUAUCAAUACCAUUGGAGACAUCCAACCUGUGAUUUCUACUGGUUUAAUGAAUCCAACUUGAAAAGUCGCUCCAAUUCUAAUCCAACUUGAAAAGUCGCUCCAAUUCUACUUUUACUAUAUGUUACAAUUUUGGAUUCAUCAUGCGUUCUUUUUGUCUAAUGGAAAUAGUACUAGGAAGUAAAGGAAUGUGAUGUUCCACAAUGUAUGCUAGAAUCCCUCUUAGAUCUAAAUAAGACCAUGUAAAGGCAUUCCUAAAUUCCAUAAUUAAAUCUUUGUACUAAGACACCUUGUGAUUGCUUAUUUUACUUAUUCCGAAAAAAAACUCCAAGAAUAAACUUGUAUAGAAGGAUUCGAAUACAGAAAAUGACUAGUUGCUUAAGCGUUCACAUUAGGGUCACACAAUCAAUUACCUUUUGAAUGUAUCAUCUCUAUUUCCAAUAUCUGAAUACACAAGGAAACUAUAAUCUCCUCCUUCACCUUAUCGGUCUCUUCCUUACAACAAUGCAGUCAUACCAAUAACUGCUAUUUCCACCAAUAUAUUCACCUUCAUAAUCUUCAACUGUAAUAUUGUACCUUCACAGCUUUCAGCACACAAUUACCUUCAUUCCAAUCACUGGAAUUCUUCACACAGAACUGCCAUUCACAUUACAGUGAAUCACAUAAAUACAGACUCAUUCUCUCUACUGAACUACAAUCAGAUUUCAGCAUUCAAUCUUUCUUCUUCUCAAAUAAUACCAAUCACAUUUCCAUUCCAUAAUUCACUUCACAAUAUUCAAAAACUCUCAAUCCUCUUAUUCAAAGAAAAUAACAAACAAAAGAAAAGAGGUAGCACCAAGCUUACCCCGGCUCACACUAUCACAGCGAUGGCCCUCGGCUCAUGACUAUCACAGUCUGGCACCUUAAUUAACCUCUACAACUCCUAUAUACUUUUCCUUGAUUCUUAAGAUUUUAAUCGUUGUUGUAUUGUAACACGAGUAUACCGUGAAAAUAUAAAGAAAGAGGACUUUUAUAAAUGUUUAGUUACCUCGAAUAUUGGGAGCAAUGACCAAUUCCAGUGCAAAUACUGAGAGGCCAGGGUCAGUCACCCCGUUACAGUCAGUUGGGGCAUACUGAAAUGCUCCGUUCGAUUCCAAUAACAAGAGUGAGCUGAAAGAGAAAGGACCAAUUCAAUGACAGGUGAACUUGGUUCGAAGAGCCAAUUGGAUCCAAUUUCAAGACAUCCAAUCCAAAUCUUACUACGGGCCUCUUAGCCAAUAUGAGACCUGAAUUGGUCAGAGAAAGCGCUGACGGCGGGAGCCAAUUCCGGAUCCAAGACGAAAGAUUGAAGAAAUUUAGAGGCUAGGAUUUGAAAAAGGAGAGAAUUAGGGUUAAAAGAAAAGAUAGAUUAAGAAAUGAAGGGAGAGAGAAUAAGAUUUUUUUAGAAGGGUCGAAGAGCUAGCUUCAUGCUUUGGGAGGAGAAAAAAGAUAGAAAAUUGAGGUUUUUUUUCUUCGUAGGGUUUUGGGAAGUCUAAGGCAAUCGUUGCUAAAGUCGGUAUUGUAUUGGUGAAUCGGGAUUUUUAAUGAAGUGGGUGUGAUUACUCUUGAAUGUUUUGUGAAAUCGAAGUUACGUCUAUGAUUGAAGAAUUAAAAAGGUGUCUAUAGGAUUGAGUGUGCGGAGUGAAUGAAAUUUAUUGGAUUAAUCUAAUGAGACAGUCAGUGGAUACAAGAUCGUGAGUAUAAAGCGGUAUCAAAGAUUAGCAGUUUGGGUUGUUCGAGGUUCUCUGUAAUGUCUAGAGACCUACCGGCUAGGGCAAAAAGGACUUUGGCGAGCAGUCGAAGGACAUUCGUAUAGAUUUACGAUAUAUUCUUGUAAUUGUUUAUAUUUCAACAGUCAAAAACUGAUAGACUGCUUGAAUAUUAGCGAAUCUCCAUACUACCUUCUACAACCAGACGCCCGGUGCGUUCUCGAGCAGGAAAGCAUGUAAUACGACAUAAGUGGUGAAUCCGACGUGAAAGCCUGAGGUGGAAGGUAUUGGAUUUCGUUUGAUUUUAUUUUUAUUUUUAUGGAAAAUGAAAAUAAAAAUUUUGAAGGAUCUUUGGGAAGAGUUUCUAGUGGGGGUUCUUCUAAAGGAGAAGGUAUGCACAUGGAUCCGUCUAUUACUAGUAUGUUUCAAGCCUUCUCAUUAUCAAUGCAGCAACAACAAAGCAAUGAUCGAAAAAAAGCUUUGGCAACCAAAGCAUUGCAAGCAGUGGUCAAUAAAAUUGAUCAAUUUGAUGGAAGGAAUAUUUCAAAGUAUUUAAGAUGUUAUGUUCGUGAAAUGGAAUUUAAUCAGGUUUCUGAGAAGAAAAUGGUUGAAUUAUUUGGACUUGCUACGAUACUAGAGAUAAGAGACCAUAUUACAUCGAUUACGGAUCAUUAUGGGAAUUCAUGGGAGGUUUUCUCACAUGCAUUGAAAGUCAAAUAUUUCUUAGAAGAUGUUGAUUGCGUUACUAAGAAGCUAUUUCUAGAAUGGAUUGAACGGCCUAAUAAGAAUUUGCAAGCAACAUAGCUACUAAGGGAAUUUGAGAGGCAGUACUCUCAAUUAUCGAAGGUAGAAAAAUUGACAUUGGAGCCGAACAAAGUUGAUCUAUUUCUUCAAGCUGCUGAUGAAGAAUUGCAAGGGAAAUUAGAACUCCUUCUUGAAGACAAAGAAGAAGAUGAAGGAUUAACAACAAAGUAGAAGAACGUUGAAGAUGUAGUGGGAUUGUUUACAAAAUGAGAAAGGAAGAAGGAUAGGAGCAAUAUUCCAAAAACAAUACAAGCACCCAAAGCUCCAGUACAGACAACACCACCAACAAUACCUACAGUUCAACCUUCGACAUCCUUAUCAAAGAAAGCAGAUAUGGGGAUGGAAGAAAUUAUGCAAAGAAUGCAAGAUCUUCAAAUCAAAUUGGCAAGACUUGAAGAGAAUACUUCUAAAAAUAAUUCCAAGAAUAUUUCAAACCAAAGAUAUAUACGAAGAUGCAUUUGGUGUGAUGACGCUUCAUACACUAGGAAAGAUUGCAAUGAAUUUAAUAAUAUGAUACGACAAGGAAUUAUUUGCUGGAAAGAUGGAAAGAUAGCAUUAAAAGAUAGGGAGGAUCUUCUUCAAACCAAUUUUGGUAAGGGAAGAAUGAGAGCAUUGGUUCAAGAUUACCUAAAAGAGCGCAAAACAGCAACACGAGGAAGUGCAAGUUAUGGUGCUAGAGUAGAUGAUGACCUUGGUGGAAGUACGAAAACUAGUGAAUUUUGGGCUUCUGCCAUUUCUACAAUGAAAGAAGGGAAAUUAUCUCGAGAAGCGUUAUUGAGGACUGCAGCUACAAUAUGAGGUGCAAUAGGUUGGAAGGAUCCUGUUAAAUCUCUUUCAGUUCAUGCAUAUAUUGCUAAGAGCCAACAUGAAGCUUUGAUGGAAGAAAAGAGACGAGGAAAUUUUGAUGAUACGAGAGAAGAAAAUUCUUCUAAGAGGCAAAUUCGAGGAGACAAGGCUCGGGAGGCAGCUUCACAAGAAUUGCCUGUAAAGGAUACCUCAGCAUCAUUAGAAGAAAAAAUAAGAUAGACAAAAGAUAAGGACAAAUCAAUUGCUUAUAAGCUACUUUCUGACAUUGAAGCAGCAACAAAUUUGAAAAGAGUGUUGGAAGAACGUAUAUUAAAUGCUAAGAUGGAAUUCAUAUUGAAAGAAGUUUUGGAAAUUGGAAAGAAAGAAUUUCAUGAUGUUAUCAUUGACUGCAUUAAGCAAAAGAGGCAAUUAAUGGGUGAAAUUGGAAUGAGUCAUGCUAUUGAUGCAAGAAUAUAUAAAGAUAAAGAAGAGGUUGAUAUUGGUUACAAGCAAUCAACAAAUGAAAAGAAUGGAUAUAAUCAACGAGUACGUUUCGAAGAUUAUAGUGAUAAGGAAAUGAAAACUUAGAGCCAUUAUACUCAAAAGUAUUGGGCAAGGGCAACUACUGAGGUAUUGGUGAAAGUAGGAGAUAUAGAAGAACCAAUUGUUGCUUUAGUCGACCAUGGUUCUGAAAUAAAUCUUAUGUCUAAAGAUCUUUAUAAGAAGCAAAAAUAGCCAAUUGAUAUGGAACAUGGAUGGGCAAUACGAGUAACUAAUAACACAUGAGGCGAAUUAUAUGGAGCUUGUCCAAAUGUCAAAAUUCAGAUUGGGGAUGUUGCAAUGGAGUAAUAUUUUUUUGUUCAAGAUACAACGUCUUAUCCGUUGAUUUUAAGACAACCUUAUAUUACGGCAACACGGAUGGAAACAAAAGUACUUGGCGAUGGUUUUGCUUAUGCAGGGUACGUAGCAAAGAUGGGAAAGAAAGCUGUACAAUUUCUAAAAGUAACUUCUAACCAUGAAUGGAAUCGAGAUAGGUUGAGAGAGAAACCAUUGCCAAAGAUUGUUGAAGGAUUUAAGGAUUUUGGGGAGGUACCACUAUAAAGCGAGAUUAUGGAGGUACAAAAGAGGAGGUACUCUCGCAAGAUAAAGGUGCCUUUGAUGCGAGUUUUAUUGGUAAAUUGGAGAAUGGAAAUAUUAUGUAUAAGAAAGUUGAUGAUUUUAAAAGAAAAGAAAGAAAAAGAUUAUAUAAUAUUGAAGGAGAAUUACACAAAUUAGGUACAUUGCAAGAUAAUGAGAGGAUUUUAGGUAUUUAUGAAGAAAAUGGACUGGAAGAUUCAUUGGAAUUGAUUACAUCUAUUGGGUUAGGAGAUAAUGAUAAGAUUGUUGAGAUUCAUUCAAGAGAGGUUUAUACCAUACUUGAAUCUUUUCAAGCACCAAAAGUCACUGUAGAGACAAGAUAUAAAACAGUAGAUAAGAAGGUAAAGCCUGUUGCCAAACGAUUAUCAGAAGAUUCUAAGGAACAAAUGAGAGAAGCAUCAAAAGAAGCAAGUUUAAUAGAUCCAAUGAGUAUUGGACAUCAGUUUACUAAAGAGAAUUUUGAAGAAUUGAAGAUUGGUUUUGAUGGUUCUUUAUUGCUGAAGGAAAUUACUUGCUUCAAAAAGAUGUUGGCUAAACAAGGUAGAUCGUUUACCUUCGAAUCUUAUGAAAUUGAGUGUGUGGAUCCGAAUAUUAUAACACCUAUGGUUAUCAUCACUAUACUACAUGUACCUUGGAAUCUAAGACCGAUUCCAGUAUCGAAGACACAUUUACCUAAAUUGGUGGAACUAUUAAGAAAAAAGAUAAAGAUGAAAAAUAUUGGAACCCUCAUUUGUGCCGUAUUCUAGUCGAUGGUUUACGAUACCUAAGAAGAAUGGGUCACUAUGGUUUAUUCAAGAUAUGCAACCGGUGAAUGCAAUAACUGUCAGGAACACAAGAAUUGGACCUAUUGUGGAUGAAUUUAUUGAGGCAUUUGCAGGAAGGGCGAUCUAUUCAAUGGGUGACUUGUAUUUAGGUUAUGAUCAAUUUCAACUUGCCGAAGGAAGUAGAGAUAUAACGAUGAUGAAGACAACACUUAGAUUGAUUAGAAUGUGCACUCUUCCUCAAGGUGCAACCAACUCAGUUGUGCAUAUGAUGAAUGGAAUGAAUAAGGUAUUGAGAGAUUUUAUUCCGGAGAAGACUAUGCCUUUUUUGGAUGAUGUUUCUAUAAAAAGGUGCAGAGAAGGAGACAAGGAUGAAACUCUAGAUAAGAGGGGGUGUCGCAAAUAUGUUGUUGAUCAUAUACAAGAUUAUAAAAAGAUUUUAACUCGGCUUGGAGAAGUUCAUCUUACAUUUUCAGAUAUGAAGUCCAUAUUUGGAGUAUGAGAGGUUGUGAUUGUUGGAUAUUUAUGUAGAUCUUAUGGAAGAAAACCAGAUCCGACUAAAGUUGAUGCAAUUGGAAGGAUGAAAGAGGAUUGUGAUUCUUUAAUAGAGGUUUGCAGGUUUUUAGGUGCAUGUGUAUUUUAUCGAAUCUGGAUCCCUCAUUAUGCUCACAUAGCAGAUCCGUUAUAUAAACUGUUACGCAGGGGCUACCGAUUUAAAUAGGAAGAAAGGCAUAUUCAAGCAAUGCAAAGAUUGAAAAAAUUAUUGAUGUCACCUUCAAUAUUAAGGAAGGUUGAUUAUAAGUGUAAUAGACUAGUGAUUCUUACUGUGGUCACUAGUCCAAUUGCCAUUGGAUUGGUUGUGGGUCAAGAUGAUUCAAGUGGAAAUAGAUUCGUAGUUCGAUUUGGAGCUAAAGUUUAAAGUAUUUGUCAACGUGCAUAUUCGCAAGUUAAAAGAGAACUUUGGGGAGUUGUUUCGGCUAUGAAAGCUGAAAAGGACUAUUUGAUUGAGGCAGUAGUAGUAAUUGAAACAAAUUGCUUGCCAUUGCUUGGAAUGAUUAUUAACUAUUCAACGCCAGAUAUUACAAUGUUGAGAUGGAUUGCUUAUAUUAAGUCACUAAAUCCAGAAUUUAAGCAUGUUACUGGGAAGGAUAAUUUAGUAGCAGACAUGCUAUCUCUAGUAAGAUACGAGAUGGAGGACGAAAUGGUUGAAGACAUUGAUGACGUCGAAUUGAAAUUCUAUUCAAUAUCAAAUCUCAACAGAGAAGACAAGCUAUUUCUUUGAAGAAUCUUAUGAAGGAGAAUUAUUAGAUAUUGGUCAUUACUUGAAUACCUUGACUAAGCACGGAAAUUAGUCUAGAGAAAAAUUCAAAUAAAUAAGAAAAAAAGUAUAUGGAUUUUUGCUUCAAGAUGGAUUCUUAUGAAAGAGACUGAAGAAAAGAAUUGGGAUGCCACAACGAGUGAUAGGCAAAAAGGAAGAAAAACUAAAAUUAUUAAAAGAGUUUCAUGAUAGUUUAUGGGUAGGGCAUAGAGGAAUCUGGGCUACUUUUGCUAAACUCAAGGAACGAUAUUGGUGGAAAAAUAUGUAUCGAGAUGUACUCUCAUUUGUAGAGUCAUGUCAAAUUUUUCAAUCGUAUUCUAAUAUCCGACAUCGAGAUGGUCUUCAUCCUACGUAUCCUCUGGCUAUUCAUUUUAAAUGGAUUGUUGAUUUGGUUAUUAUGCCUGUUGGGUUAUGGCAGAUGAGAUAUUUGGUUUUAGCUCGUGAAGAUUUAUCAAAUCAAGUAAAAGGAAGAGCAUUGAGGACAAAAUCUACAGAGGGGAUUUGUAGGUUUUUGCUUGAAGAUGUCAUUUGCCGGUACGGAUGUGUAGGAAAAAUCACUGCAAAUCUUGGAGAAUUAAAUGCACAAGAAGCUCAUAAGUUCUUUGAAAGAUGUGGAGUUAAACUAUCACUGACUACUACUUAUAAUCCGGAAGGGAAUGCAAAAAGCCAACAUGGUCACCCACCGAUUGUGAAAGCAUUAGUUAAAGCUUGUAAUGGGAAAGUUAAAGAGUAGCCACGGCUUUUGUCAUUUGCAUUAUGGACUCAUCGAACAACACAUAGUUCAGUGACGGGAUAUAUGCCAGUAGAACUUAUGACAGGUCGAAAAUCAAUUAUGCCGAUUGAAGAAAAGGUACUUACUUGGAGUAUGCCACCAUGGGAAGAUGGAUUGACAAGAGAAGAACUUUUGGCUAUUAGGAUUCGACAAUUGGAGCAAAGAUCGAAAGAUGUGCAGAUAGCAUUGGAAAGGUUAAAAAGAACAAGGUUACAAAAUAUGGCACGAUUUGAUAAGCAACAUUGAUCGAGACCUAAUGCAAUCAAGGAAGGUGACUAGGUACUUGUUUAUGACAAUAGUCUGGAUAAUCAAUAUAGUACUUUGCGGAAAUUUUCAGAACGUUGGUUUGGACCAUAUGUAGUAACAACUGUUCAUGAUAAUGCGAUUUACUCAUUACGGGAGUUAGAUGGUACAAAAUUGAAAAUACCAAUUGCAGGGAAGUGAGUAAAAAUAUUUAAAUGAAGACACGUGGAGAUGAAUAUGGAAGACCUUAAUGAAGGUAUAGAGAUUUUGCAGCAAGAAGAAGAAAGUGGUUUGGAUAAUAAAGGCGACGAAGACGAACUAGACAAAGACGUAGAGAAUAUAUUUUAAAUCAAAGAGUAACUGGUAAAUUGGUGCAUACCGGAGGAUGCACAGGUUCAGAGGGGAUAGAUGUCGUGUUGUAACACGAGUAUAUCGUGAAAAUAUAUAGAAAGGGGAUUUUUAUUAAUGUUCAGUUACCUCAAAUAUUGGAAGCAACGACCAAUUCCAGUGCAAAUACUGAGAGGCCAGGGUCAAUCACCUCGUUAUAGUCAGCUAGGGCAUACUGAAAUGCUCCGUUUGAUUCCAAUAACGGGAGUCAGCAGAAAACAAAAGGACCAAUUUGAUGACAGGUGAACUUGGUUCGAAGAGCCAAUUGGAUCUAAUUUCAAGACAUCGAAUCCAAGUCUUACUACGGGCCUCUUAGCCAAUACGAGACCUGAAUUGGUCAGAGAAAGCGCUGACGGCGGGAGCUAAUUCCGGAUCCAAGACGAAAGAUUGAAGAAAUUUAGAGGCUAGGAUUUGAAAAAGGAGAGAAUUAGGGUUAAAAGAGAUGAUAGAUUAAGAAAUGAAGGGAGAGAGAAUAAGAUUAAGAAAUGAAGGGAGAGACCAUGCAUUUAUAAGUCCAAAAGGCAUGUCAUUAUAUUCAAAAUGUUUAUACAUUGUGCAAAAUGUAGUCUUCUAUUCAUCUCCUUUUUUAAUGCAUACCAAAUUGUAUGCCCCUUAUAGAUCUAUUUUUGUAUAGAUCUUAGAUUGAUAUAAUUAAUCAAGAAGUCUUGAUAUCAAAGGUAGUAGAUAUCUAUUCUUGAUGGUGAUUUUAUUGAUUCCUUGAUAAUCGAUACAUAUUUGCAAUGAUCCUUCUUUAUUCUUUACAAAUAAAAUUAGAACUCUUGCCAAAAAUUUGCAAUGGCAUAUAAAGUUCUUGGCUAGAUUUUCUUCAAUAUACUUUUUGAAUUUAGCCAAUUUAUUUUAUGAUAAAUUGUAAAUUGGUCCAAAUGGCACUUGAGUUCCUUCUUAAAGGUCAAUUGAAUAGUCAUAGGGAUAAUGUUUUAGUAGAGUAUCAGCAUUCUUUUUCUCAAAUACAUCUUGAAAAUCUUAAUAUUGGCUUAGAAUGCCGCUUGAAGUCUUUCUACCAUUUGAAAUGGAUACAAUAUGAAUGACAUAAGAUAAUCUUUUUUUUCUAACAUGCAAGAAAGCUUUUGCACCUACAAAUAUAGAUUUAAUUAUAGUAGACUUAUGUCUUUCUACUUGAUCAAUUAUAUUCUUAGUUAUACUUUCAAAUAAAUCAAGACUACAAGAAAUUCAAUCUAUUUUUGGAUUAUAUUUUUUUAGCAAUGAUAAAUCUAAAAUUAUUCAAUUAGAAGAAGAUUUAAUCAUAUUAAAUAUUACAAAGCUACUAUAAUUAUUAUUUAUUGCUUCUAUAGGAAGAGUUUCAUGAAUAAAAUUUUUUGAAGACAAUGGACGACCAUCUAUGACUUCUAUAUGAAUAUGUUUAGUUUUCUUCAUUAAAGAUAUGCUAUAUCUUUUAGCAAAUUCUUCAUCUAAGAAACAAGCUGAGGCUCUUGAAUCUAAUAAGGUAGAUGCUUUGUGAUGUUAAGGUCCUAAAAUAACAUUUAUUGUAAAAUAAAGAGAAGGUUCUGAGGAGAGAAUAAGACCUUCAUUAGAUAUUGUAUAAGGUUCUAGCUACAAUGUCCCUAUUGUAGCUUGACAAACUUAUUUUUUGACAUACUAUUUUCUUUGAUGGUAGUAUUCCUCAUUUUGUAAUUGUAUCGCUUCUUUGGACAAUGUUGAGCAGUGACACCAAUUGCAUGAAGUAGUGAAGAGUACUAGCCCUGAUUAUAUUGCAUAAAUUCCAAAUUAUUGAUACAAAUCUUGAUUUUGAACAACAAUUAAAAAUUCAUUCCAAAUCCUAAGAAAACAAGACUUAGAACUUUGGAAUAAGCUUGAAGCUAGCUUACAAACUCCAAUUGCCGAUCUUCAAAUGAAUCCCUAUUUUGCUCUAGGCAGCCAUUUUAGUGACUGGAGGUUUGAUUUCAAGUAUGUUCCACAAAUGGUUAAUCCUCGGAUAUCAAUCCAAUCUAUCCUAGGGAUUUUUUAGUUUGAUCUUAUCUUCAACUUAAGUCUAGUAUCAAUUAUAUUAAUUAUUUAUCUUUUUUUACUAUUUUUUUUUUUAUCAAUUUAUGGCCUUUCUAAGCCAAUAAAAGAAAUUUAAUAGUUUAGAAGGUAAAAUUAUUAACCAACCUUGAAUCUACUAGCUAUUAAGAUAAGAAAAUAAACUAAGAGAUUUUUAUAAAAGCCAUGCUUAAAUGUCUUGAAUUACUAUUGAACUAAGAUGAUUAAAUAUUAAUUAAAAUUUUAUUUUUGAUUAUAUUUUUACCAUAUAGUUGUGUUACAAAUUGGCAACAAUAUGGUGCAUAUAUAAGAAACUUGUCUUGCAAAUUAAAACAUAUGCUUUAUAAAAUGAACACGUAUUGGAGAUCCUAUAGAACAUUGUCAUAUAGCUCUUUGUUAGAUAGUAAAUAUAGAAGCAAGAGUAAAGCCUUCUUCAUUGUUGUCAUUGCUUUUAUAGUCCUUAGUCUUGUUUUAAGACUUUCUAAUAUUCUUGUCUUUAGCAAUAGCCAUUCUAGUUCAAUAUAUUACUAUCUUUGAGUGAUUUUUUAAUCUUUUUGAGUGAUACAAGAGUGUAUUGAGUUUUCUUUCUUUGAGAUUCAUGUCCUUGACACAUCCUUUCCUAUGACCUAGAAGAAGCCAUGAUCUAAUUUGCGACUUAAAUUCAAUUCUUUUCCAAGUUCUUUUGAGAUACUUGUCACAUAGUCUUAUAUGAUUUUUGGUAAUUGAUUGUCUUCCACAAUAUAUGCUAUUAUGACUUUCUUUUAAAAAUAAUCCAUUUCUUUUGGUACUUUGGCCUCGUUUAAUAUCACCCAAACAACACAUUUUGUUAGUAUGAAAUCUUUUUUGCUACAAAAAAAUCUUUUAGAAAGGAUCUUAGUUGGUGAUGCUCGCAUGGGAUGGAUAUCUAUGAGCCGCUCCAUUUGUGCAAUAGUAGCAACCAAUUCAAAUUCCAAUUAUUCUUUCUUAGAUCUAUUCUUCUUGUACUACACCUUCAAUGUUGUAAGAGACAGGGAUGCAUGUGUCAACUUGCUUUUUAGUAUCACAGCAUAGGUCGUGGUUAUCGUCAUGUUGUCUCCUCACACUAUUACAAUCCCACUACAAAUGGUACUAUAGGCACUAUGACUCACUUUAGUGCAACCUCCACUGCUAGGCUCAACUAAAACCCUAAUCCUAAAAAAGUCCUAUCCUCAAUUGAUAUCUUACUUGCUUAAAUUAUUGUAUAUAAAUUUAUCAAAUCCUAACACAAUGUGUCAGGGUAUUGAGCAUUGGACCUCGCAAUAGCUCGCAGGCCAGAUAUGUGGUAUUACACAUCCUCGCAGUAAUCCAAGCGCCAGUGAGGAGGAGCUUGCCGGAUCUUUCCCGUUUUUUUUUUUUUUGUUUUGUUUUGUUUUUUUUUUUUCCAUUUAUGCACCUACUGCAUAUAUGCUGAAAUGCUUAAGUUAUCUGAAAUGGGUUGUCUACCUUACGCACAGCAAAGGAGCCCCAUCACCAUCAGCCGGCGUGCAUGCGCUCAAUGGAUACAACACAGAGAUGUCGGUGUGACAGCAACACUGAAAUUGAGCACUGCUGAGGAGAUUGAAGGCCAAGCGGUGGAGCUACUCCUUGACAACGACCAGGAUUCGUCCGCAAGACGCAGAUACCCGGACAGAAGUGUUCGUCAUCGGGUUGCUCCGCAUCUGCGUUCGCAACUGUGUUCGCAACGGCAUCGCAAUGCGGCACUGCAGUAGAUGAGUGUGUUCAUGAACCAUUGGAAAUCGUGAAUGGCGACAUCCGCGAGACAUAAGUGAACGUGAGCCGUCUGCGAUGCUUUCGCGGCCUCCUGUCCCGACCCCUCCGACGUCUAUCUGGACAUGCCCUGAUGCCGUGAGUGGGUUGGGGUCGAAACUGGGCAUGAAGCUUCUGGUCGAGUAUAUUUUGCUUGGGUGUUGGGGGCUCGUUCGCUUUGUUUCAUUGGACAGCUGUUAAUAGACAAGCCUGCCGAGCACGGCAUUGACAGUGGGGCCCACCUUCAUGAACAACGCAAGGGUCCUGCAGCUCUCGAGACCUCGAGAACUUAUUCGAGAUCCUGGGAUCCACCAUGAAAGUGCGACACAAGGAAUUCGUUCCGUGGUGACGGCGCAGCGAUUUCGUGAGGUAUAUUAGGAGGGGUGGGAGAGAGUGGUGGAGUAGAGUCAGCGUAGGGAUUGAAAUUGGAUACGGUUCGUGUUGCGCCUAUUCGCGCUGCUGUCUGAGUUGCAUGACGGGGAACGUGACGUGGGGAGGACCUGGUGUCGCAUCAGCCGCUUGUUUGAAUAGGACCUUGUGUCGUUGGGAUUAGCGUGGGCGGGAAUUGAGAGCGCAGGCGUGAGAAUUGCGGUAAGCUUCGGAGCGGGGACGGUCGUGAUUGCAGGUAGAAGAGGUUGUAGAGGAUUUCUUGAGAGGCUCGUAAAAGAGGGAGAGAGAGAGGGAGCAGAAGAGAGUUGAAGAGCGUGAGAGCUGGAUUGAGGUGGUUGUGGAGCGAUGCAGUCGCUGAUGAAAGUUGUGCUUGCACCUCGAACGGGGUCGGCGACGGAGAGCGAGAGGAGAAAGAAGAAGAAGGAGGAUGUUUUGCUGGAGCGCAGUUUGUCGUCUUCAACUCGGUAUCCGUCAAUGCCGCGGUACCCGCUGUCGCCCUUGCAUGGCGAAGUUGACGUCUCGGAGAUUCGCAAAGCAAAUUUGAAGGUCUGUAAUGCAACCCUCACAAAGUGCGGGUUUAGCAGCGGCAUUGAAACGCCGGAGUGGCGUGGUUGUGGAGUUGUUUUGGAGUGAUUUUCUUGCCUUCUUGUUUACGCCAUAUCUGGGCAGGUUAUCGCCCGGCCUGGGAGGAGGGGAGAUCUCUGUUGUGAGUCCCUGUUAAAUUCCAGUAGGAACGGUCGUGGUGAAAGUGCUUGGCGCUGGAAUAAGUCGGGGAUUUCGCGAGAAAAGCAGUGAUGAGCACUUGAACAUGAGAGCGAUGAAUGGGAGCAGAAUUCCUCAAAGGUCUGUUGCAUAGGAGAACCCCAGGGGCCGAAAGCGGAUCGUGCUAGCAACGUUUAGCGGCGCCGCUCGACUUUCUGAUCCAGUGGUAGAACGUGCGUGGGGCUGGUUCAAAUGGGACAUGUGUGGUUUGGCAAUUGAUUCCACGGGGUCGUCAUUUCAUAUGUAUGUGUUGAUUGGGUGUACAGGUUACAGGGAUGGAGUGCGCAGCGUGUGCGGGGUCCAUCGAGAAAGCCGUGAAGAGGUUGCCCGGCAUCGAGGAAGCAACGGUGUCAGUAUUGCAGAACCGGGCUCAAGUUGUGUACAGGCCCGCCUUCGUACAGGUACAAUUCCUCCCACUCCGUGUUGUUCAGAAUUCCGUCGGGACCGGUGAAGCGGGGAUCGUUCGCGCAGCACGCGGUGCAAUGCGGACGGCAAGAAGAUGCUUGUAGCAAUGUUGUAGGAAACGACUUGAAAGGUGUGCAGUGAGGGGUGCUCCAAAACUUUGCAUGUGGUGAGAGGGUCAAUUUAGCAAUCCGCCAGAUGGACCGUGGCAGCUAGGAGCUCAGAAGUAAGAUGGAUGUGGGCAGCGGUGGAAUUGGAAGGCAUUGAAUCUUACACGGGGAAAGUGGAAUCCAGGAGGAAAGCAUUCGGGAGGCGAUCGAGGACGCGGGGUUCGAGGCGGAAGCAAUUGUGGACGAUGCCGGUCAACGGAGCGGGAGCAUCAGCCGUUUUCGUAUCAAGGGCAUGACGUGCACCUCUUGCUCAAACUCCAUAGAGUCUUCGCUGAAAAAGCUGGAUGGAGUGCAAAAGGCCGUAGUAGCCCUCGCCACGGAGGAGUGCGAGGUGAGGCACGAUGCUGGAGUGAUUUCUCACGUCCAGCUUGCCGCCGCCAUAGAUGACCUGGGUUACGAGGCCGAGCUUCUGAUCGCAGGUGAAGAGACGAACAGAAUCCGUCUGCAGCUGGAAGGCGUGACGGCUGCAGCGGACUUCCAGCUCGUGAAAGAGAUGCUGGUGGCUCUGUCCGGCGUGACAUCGGUGGAUUUGGAUUUCAGCAAUGCGAUGGUCACAGUAUCGUACGAGCCCGACAGGGCUGGGCCGAGGACUUUCAUAGAGACCAUCGAGCAGGCGGGAGUUUUCACAGCGAAGUUGGAGGCACCUCGUGGUCGUGGGAGUCACGACAGGGGCUUGGAGAUCCAGCACCACAAGAAGUACUUCCUUUGGAGCUUGGUGUUCACGGUCCCAGUGUUCUUUUUGUCCAUGGUGUUUAUGUACAUACCAGGCAUUAUGGAGGGUCUGGAGCACGGCAGGCUGAACGGCUUGUCGAUCGGAGCUUUGCUGCGGUGGAUUCUUGCGACUCCGGUGCAGUUCGUUAUCGGGAGAAGGUUCUACGUGGGAGCGUACAAGGCGCUCCGGCGAGGGUCGUCGAACAUGGACGUGCUAAUUGCCAUGGGCACGAACGCAGCGUACUUUUAUUCUGUGUACAUAGUGUUGCGGGCGGCUACGUCUCCUACGUUCAAGGGCACGGAUUUUUUUGAAACGAGCGCGAUGCUCAUUUCGUUUAUCAUCCUGGGAAAGUAUUUGGAAGUAAUGGCCAAGGGGAAGACCUCGGAAGCCGUUGCCAAGCUGAUGGACCUCGCUCCGGACAAGGCGACUCUGCUCACUCUGGACGAGGAGGGGGACGUGGCAGGAGAGAGGGAAAUCGGGGCCGAGCUCAUCCAGCGGCGAGACAUCAUCAAGGUAGGCCUACGCGCUGGUGUUGUAGGUGCUACGUUUCAGGCUUGGGCUUUCGCUGGGGGUUGUUGGAUGCGGCUGUCCAUACCGAUUCGGAGAGUCGGACGGUUGGAAACAGAGUCGGGUUUGUAUGUGGGCCAUUGUAGAAGCUUGUGCUAGAGAGUUGCGGUGCGUGUCGUUCCCGUGAAGCGGUCCUAGUGGGUAGCGUGGCAGCCAUGAUUGUAGUUGUGCCCGUUCUUGCAAUGAAAAGUCGUUUUGGCUUGCGCAGGUGGUACCGGGCUCGAAAGUGCCCACGGACGGUGUGGUGGUGUGGGGACAAUCCUUCGUGAACGAGAGCAUGAUAACAGGCGAAGCCCGCCCCGUACCGAAGAAAUUAGGGGACAAGGUGAUAGGAGGCACCAUGAACGACCACGGCGUGAUACACAUUCGAGCCACACACGUAGGGGCGGAGACCGCAUUGGCACAAAUUGUGCGGCUGGUGGAAGCCGCCCAAAUGGGCAAAGCCCCGGUCCAGAAGUAUGCGGAUCGCAUCUCCACUUACUUCGUCCCCGCCGUGGUGGUCGCGGCUUUCGUCACGUGGCUGGCUUGGUACGUUGGAGGCAAAGCACGCUCGUACCCAAAGUCAUGGAUUCCGGCUGCGAUGGACGAGUUCGAGCUGGCACUUCAGUUCGGGAUAUCAGUGCUCGUCAUCGCGUGCCCCUGCGCCCUCGGCCUGGCCACACCCACCGCAAUAAUGGUUGCCACAGGGAAGGGCGCGACGCAGGGGAUCCUGAUCAAAGGGGGUCAGGCACUGGAGGCUGCACACAAGGUGAAGACGGUGGUUUUCGACAAGACCGGGACGCUGACAAUCGGGAAGCCCAUCGUCGUUCACACCAAGCUGCUCACGAACAUUCCUCUGCACGUGUUCUACGACACAAUCGCAGCAGCGGAGGUCAACAGCGAGCACCCACUGGGAAAAGCGAUCGUCGCGUACUCCAGGAAGAUCAGCGGCGAGCAUUCGUCCCAUGGUCAGCAGCAACACGAGGUGCGUGAUUUCGAGGCCAUUCCAGGGCAGGGAGUGCGCGCCGUGGUGGACGGCAAGGCGACCCUGGUGGGGAACAUGCGACUGAUGAAGGAGCACGGGAUCCACAUAUCGGAAGAAGCGGAGGAGCACUUGCGCGAUGUGGAGACUUUGGCCAGGACGGGAGUGAUGGUUGCCAUCGAGAGGGAGUUGGUGGGGGUGGUGUCCAUCGCGG
RNAcentral lists this long non-coding RNA (24883 nucleotides) under Physcomitrium patens. RNAcentral's name for it is "long non-coding RNA (PPAT_LNC000094)". Lineage: Eukaryota; Viridiplantae; Streptophyta; Bryopsida; Funariales; Funariaceae. The record is from RNAcentral.